RNAcentral lists this ribosomal RNA (253 nucleotides) under uncultured bacterium. RNAcentral describes it as "partial 16S ribosomal RNA". It matches the Rfam family "Bacterial small subunit ribosomal RNA", at positions 524 to 776 of the family's 1533-position model. The record is from RNAcentral.
UACGUAGGGGGCGAGCGUUGUCCGGAAUCAUUGGGCGUAAAGAGCGUGUAGGCGGCUUGGUAAGUCUUACGUGAAAGCCUGCGGCUCAACCGCAGAAGUGCGUAGGAAACUUCCUCGCUAGAGUCCGGAAGAGGAGAGCGGAAUUCCUGGUGUAGCGGUGGAAUGCGCAGAUAUCAGGAGGAACACCCGUGGCGAAGGCGGCUCUCUGGGACGGUACUGACGCUGAGACGCGAAAGCGUGGGGAGCGAACAGG